AAUAUUGCGCAAUGGGGGAAACCCUGACGCAGCAACGCCGCGUGAGCGAUGAAGGCCUUCGGGUCGUAAAGCUCUGUCAUUAGGGACGAAUAAAAUGACGGUACCUAAGGAGGAAGCCCCGGCUAACUACGUGCCAGCAGCCGCGGUAAUACGUAGGGGGCGAGCGUUGUCCGGAAUUACUGGGCGUAAAGGGCCUGUAGGCGGCUGGUUAAGUCAGAUGUGAAAGGCCCCGGCUUAACCGUGGUAUUGCAUUUGAAACUGGCCAGCUUGAGUGCAGGAGAGGGAAGUGGAAUUCCUAGUGUAGCGGUGAAAUGCGUAGAUAUUAGGAGGAACACCAGUGGCGAAGGCGACUUUCUGGACUGCAACUGACGCUGAGGCGCGAAAGCGUGGGUAGCGAACA
This 400-nucleotide ribosomal RNA is filed under the name uncultured bacterium. Its description in RNAcentral is "partial 16S ribosomal RNA". It matches the Rfam family "Bacterial small subunit ribosomal RNA", at positions 360 to 774 of the family's 1533-position model. The record is from RNAcentral.